AAAGAGUCAACCCAUCCUAUUUAAAUCCCAAUAUCCAUGCUAUCAUCUAAGAAUUGUAAUCCGUCUAUGUCAAUGGUGAUAAAGUUUCAACGGAAUUCUUGCGAGAAUUUUUAGCAUCGUAGCAACAUUAAAUUUUGUGGUUCUAAAGGAGUACGGUGCAACCUUUUCCAAGAAUAUCAUAUGGAUUUUUCCUUACUCCAGGUAUGUUAAGGCUAUCCAUUUUAUUUUCUUGGCAUGAUCCCAGUUAUACAGAAGAAACGAGCAAAUACACAGUUAAUACGCAGUUAAAAAAGUUUAUCUGGAAGGAGUAUGAGAUUAUAACAUAUUUUUCAUGCAUUUCAUUCAUUUAUACAUGUACAUUGAUCCAUGACAAGAUGGCGUUAUAUACGCGCAUUUAUAUGUAUAUACAUAUAUNNNNNNNNNNNNNNNUGGAAAAAAGGUUACGGCGUUAUAUAUGGACCACCACCUGAUCACUUGUUAUGUGUUGAUGAUGUUGCCCACAGUGGUCGAGAUGAUAUAAUGAGAUGCCCUCAGUGGCUUGAUGAUGUUAUGUACACCUCUACCCAUGCAUGGCACGAUAUUUAUAUACACGUGCAUAACAUUAUAAAUGCUUCAUAAUUUACAAAGUUACUCAGAUUUACAGAUGGAUUUCAUGAUUCCAUGUUACAUCUAUGCCUUUUACGUACUAAUUUUCAUGCCUUACAUACUCAGUACAUUUUGUCGUACUGAUGCCCUAUUUCACGGGGCCUACGUUUCAUGCCCACAGGUGCAGGUAGGCAAGCUGAUGGACCCCCUUCUAAGGAUCCUUGAUCCGCGAGAGUUGGCGUGCUCCACUCGAUCCGGAGGUGCUUUAGAUUUUCGUACGAUACGCUUGUAUACAUAAAUGGGUUUGAUGUGGCUCAGUCCCGUAUUUGUAUUGUUGUAUUGCUGUUAGAGGUGCGUAGAUAGUAUGUCUAGUUGGAUAGUAUGUGGCCUUACCGGUUGGCAGUUUUGAGGUAUACAGUUAUCUAUAGUAGCCUAGUUGGCUCGCC
This 1031-nucleotide long non-coding RNA is filed under the name Nicotiana tabacum (common tobacco). RNAcentral describes it as "long non-coding RNA (NTAB_LNC017028)". Lineage: Eukaryota; Viridiplantae; Streptophyta; Magnoliopsida; Solanales; Solanaceae. The record is from RNAcentral.